Molecule: ribosomal RNA, 117 nt
Filed under: Candidatus Dadabacteria bacterium
Lineage: Bacteria; Pseudomonadati; Thermodesulfobacteriota; Candidatus Dadabacteria
Source: RNAcentral
CUUGGUGCCAAAAGCGAUGGGGAAACACCUCUUCCCAUUUCGAACAGAGAAGUUAAGCCCAUUAGCGCCGAUGGUACUACCCGCCUCGGCGGGUGGGAGAGUAGGUCGGUGCCAAGU